ACCAGGAGGAAGACCACUUUCCUCCCGAGAGCCGACGGGGCCAGCUGGGAUACUCCGGGACGCCUGAGACAGGCGCUGGGCGGGGUCUCGCCCGGUUCGCGGAACGCCGGGAAGGGGUCACUUCCAGAUGAAGGGGUCACUUCCAGAUGAAGGUUCCGGUUCCGGUGUCGGCGGCUGUCGGAUUGCCAUGGCAACCCGGCUGGCUGGCGCGUGGUGCCAGCAUCCAGGGAGGUGGUGGGACUAGGGCAAACCGGCGUGCCCCUCUGCCAGCCUAGAUUCAUUGAUUCCAGGUAAAUCAGAGGAACAAGCAUCUUGAACAGAAAUAUAUAGAAAAUGCUGUUAUGCUGAAGCAUAACUUGUUUCAGAAGUCCAGCAUCUGGUGUACUUAACAAUAGAGCAUCUAUUAAAUUGUUUCCAAAAUCA
Molecule: long non-coding RNA, 423 nt
Organism: Microcebus murinus (gray mouse lemur)
Lineage: Eukaryota; Metazoa; Chordata; Mammalia; Primates; Cheirogaleidae
Source: RefSeq, a predicted model, not a curated record